AGUAAUAUGCCUGAUUUAAAGGGCUGUUUUGAUGGAACAUUCAUAGCUGAUUAUGCUUAUUACUA
Molecule: transfer RNA, 65 nt
Filed under: Osculotes curta
Lineage: Eukaryota; Metazoa; Arthropoda; Insecta; Psocodea; Philopteridae
Description: tRNA-Ile
Source: RNAcentral